Molecule: ribosomal RNA, 322 nt
Filed under: uncultured eukaryote
Lineage: Eukaryota
Description: partial 18S ribosomal RNA
Rfam family: Eukaryotic small subunit ribosomal RNA
Source: RNAcentral
CCCUUAGAUGUUCUGGGCCGCACGCGCGCUACACUGAUGCAUUCAACGAGCCUAUCCUUGACCGACAGGUCCGGGUAAUCUUUGAAUCUGCAUCGUGACGGGGAUAGAUUAUUGCAAUUAUUAAUCUUCAACGAGGAAUGCCUAGUAGGCGCAAGUCAUCAGCUUGCGUCGAUUACGUCCCUGCCCUUUGUACACACCGCCCGUCGCUCCUACUGAUUGAGUGUCUCGGUGAAUUCUUUGAUCUUCUGUCGAUUCAGUUCACUGAUCCGACGGUGGAAAGUUGAAUGAACUUCGUCACUUAGAGGAAGGAGAAGUCGUAACA